RNAcentral lists this ribosomal RNA (240 nucleotides) under uncultured bacterium. RNAcentral's name for it is "partial 16S ribosomal RNA". It matches the Rfam family "Bacterial small subunit ribosomal RNA", at positions 99 to 334 of the family's 1533-position model. The record is from RNAcentral.
CGGACAGGUGCGUAACGCGUAGGAACUAUACCCGUGGGUAAGUGGGGGGACAAACCCGGCGAAAGCCGGGCUAAUACCGCAUACGAUCCACGGAUGAAAGCAGGGGACCGCAAGGUCCUUGGCGCUAUCAGAUUAGCCUGCGUCGGAUUAGCUAGUUGGUGAGGUAACGGCUCACCAAGGCAACGAUCCGUAGCUGGUUUGAGAGAACGACCAGCCACACUGGGACUGAGACACGGCCAG